Molecule: small RNA, 176 nt
Filed under: uncultured Prevotella sp.
Lineage: Bacteria; Pseudomonadati; Bacteroidota; Bacteroidia; Bacteroidales; Prevotellaceae
Description: Bacteroidales-1 6S-Bacteroidales RNA suggested
Rfam family: Bacteroidales-1 6S-Bacteroidales RNA suggested
Source: RNAcentral
UCGGUUAGAUAGGGAUACUCAUCAAAUAACAGGAAAACCGAGAUGUCGUCUCUCAGCACAAUGGCGGGCCACACAAUGCUUUGCAUUCUUUCUUAGAAAGCGGUGGAUUACAAAGUCUGGAGAACUCUCAUUCGUAUUUAUACGGAGUUUUCAUCACAUCACCGGCACCCCCUUUU